UACGUAGGUGGCAAGCGUUGUCCGGAUUUACUGGGCGUACAGGGCGCGUAGGCGGUUGUUUAAGUCCGCCGUGAAAUCUCCAGGCUUAACCUGGAAAGUGCAGAGGGGACUGUUCAGCUAGAGGAUGGGAGAGGAGCGCGGAAUUCCCGGUGUAGCGGUGAAAUGCGUAGAGAUCGGGAGGAAGGCCGGUGGCGAAGGCGGCGCUCUGGAACAUUUCUGACGCUGAGGCUCGAAAGCGUGGGGAGCAAACAGG
Molecule: ribosomal RNA, 253 nt
Filed under: uncultured bacterium
Lineage: Bacteria
Description: partial 16S ribosomal RNA
Rfam family: Bacterial small subunit ribosomal RNA
Source: RNAcentral